Molecule: ribosomal RNA, 253 nt
Filed under: uncultured bacterium
Lineage: Bacteria
Description: partial 16S ribosomal RNA
Rfam family: Bacterial small subunit ribosomal RNA
Source: RNAcentral
GACGGAGGAUGCAAGCGUUAUCCGGAAUGAUUGGGCGUAAAGCGUCCGCAGGUGGCAGUUCAAGUCUGCUGUCAAAGACCGGGGCUUAACUUCGGAAAGGCAGUGGAAACUGAACAGCUAGAGUAUGGUAGGGGCAGAGGGAAUUCCUGGUGUAGCGGUGAAAUGCGCAGAUAUCAGGAGGAACACCAAUGGCGAAGGCAGCUCGCUGGGACGGUACUGACGCUGAGGCGCGAAAGCGUGGGGAGCAAACAGG